UAAGGAAUAUUGGUCAAUGGACGCAAGUCUGAACCAGCCAUGCCGCGUGAAGGAUGAAGGUCCUCUGGAUUGUAAACUUCUUUUAUCUGGGACGAAAACGGGAUUUUUAUCUCAAUUGACGGUACCAGAGGAAUAAGCACCGGCUAACUCCGUGCCAGCAGCCGCGGUAAUACGGAGGGUGCGAGCGUUAUCCGGAUUUACUGGGUUUAAAGGGUGCGUAGGUGGGCUUAUAAGUCAGUGGUGAAAUCUCCGAGCUUAACCGGGAAACUGCCGUUGAUACUAUUUGUCUUGAAUAUUGCGGAGGUCAGCGGAAUAUGUCAUGUAGCGGUGAAAUGCUUAGAUAUGACAUAGAACACCAAUUGCGAAGGCAGCUUACUACACAAUCAUUGACACUGAGGCACGAAAGCGUGGGUAGCGAACA
Molecule: ribosomal RNA, 421 nt
Filed under: uncultured bacterium
Lineage: Bacteria
Description: bacterial SSU rRNA
Rfam family: Bacterial small subunit ribosomal RNA
Source: RNAcentral